GUCAGUUUGACAGAAAAUGUAUUAGAUUUAGGAUCUACUUAUGUGGGUGGUAAUCCCAUGGCUGAUU
This 67-nucleotide transfer RNA is filed under the name Daphnia galeata. Its description in RNAcentral is "tRNA-Leu(CUN)". It matches the Rfam family "tRNA". Rfam says of the family: Transfer RNA (tRNA) molecules are approximately 80 nucleotides in length. Lineage: Eukaryota; Metazoa; Arthropoda; Branchiopoda; Diplostraca; Daphniidae. The record is from RNAcentral.